RNAcentral lists this ribosomal RNA (417 nucleotides) under uncultured bacterium. Its description in RNAcentral is "bacterial SSU rRNA". It matches the Rfam family "Bacterial small subunit ribosomal RNA", at positions 506 to 927 of the family's 1533-position model. The record is from RNAcentral.
GGCCAGCAGCCGCGGUAAUACAUAGGGGGCGAGCGUUAUCCGGAUUUAUUGGGCGUAAAGCGUGCGUAGGCGGCUGAUUAAGUCUGGUGUGAAAUUUCUCGGCUUAACCGAGAAGGGUCAUUGGAAACUGGUCAGCUUGAAUGCAGGAGAGGUAAGUGGAAUUCCAUGUGUAGCGGUAAAAUGCUUAGAUAUAUGGAGGAACACCAGUGGCGAAGGCGGCUUACUGGCCUGAGAUUGACGCUGAUGCACGAAAGCGUGGGUAGCAAACAGGAUUAGAUACCCUGGUAGUCCACGCCGUAAACGAUGAGCACUAAGUGUCGGGGGAAACCUCGGUGCUGAAGUUAACGCAUUAAGUGCUCCGCCUGGGGAGUACGGUCGCAAGACUGAAACUCAAAGGAAUUGACGGGGGCCCGCACA